This 301-nucleotide ribosomal RNA is filed under the name uncultured bacterium. Its description in RNAcentral is "partial 16S ribosomal RNA". It matches the Rfam family "Bacterial small subunit ribosomal RNA", at positions 509 to 809 of the family's 1533-position model. The record is from RNAcentral.
CAGUCGCCACGGUAAAACGUAGGUGGCAAGCGUUGUCCGGAAUUAUUGGGCUUAAAGGGCUCGCAGGCGGUUUCUUAAGUCUGAUGUGAAAGCCCCCGGCUCAACCGGGGAGGGUCAUUGGAAACUGGGAAACUUGAGCGCAGAAGAGGAGAGUGGAAUUCCACGUGUAGCGGUGAAAUGCGUAGAGAUGUGGAGGAACACCAGUGGCGAAGGCGACUCUUUGGUCUGUAACUGACGCUGAGGAGCGAAAGCGUGGGGAGCGAACAGGAUUAGAUACCCCUGUAGUCCCUGUCUCUUAUAA